Molecule: long non-coding RNA, 1267 nt
Filed under: Oryctolagus cuniculus (rabbit)
Lineage: Eukaryota; Metazoa; Chordata; Mammalia; Lagomorpha; Leporidae
Description: lncRNA (ENSOCUG00000033303.1)
Source: RNAcentral
GAGAUGUCUCCUUCCUCGCAGAGGCGUUACCCGGAGCGGGGCUGAGCCCACACACGAGGCACGGAGGCAGCGGGGCUGGCGGCGGGCUCCCGCAGCGGGAACGCCGGAAGCGACCUUUGGCUGCGGGGGAGGCCCGGAUGUGCUUCUCCAUGUUUCAGAGCUCUGGCUUUUCCUGUCGAACUUGACCUCUGAAAGCUGACCGACGUGAGGGCUCCCCCAGCCCCCAGGAAGCAGUGAGAGCAGUGGGCGAGGUUUGUGUUGCCCUGUGGUCUCUGCUUGUGAGCCUCAGGAAGCCCCGGGACUCCACACGGGGCCCAGCGGCCUUGCGGAAAUGGAUGCCCAGGCCGCCAUGCUUCACGUCAGGGGCAGCUGCAGAUAGCUCAGCAGCAUCCAUGCUUCACGACAGAGACAGCUGUGGUUCACGUCAGGGACAGCCGCGGUUUACGUCAGUGGUAUAUGGUUUACGUUAGGGGCAGCUGCAGAUAGCUCAGCAGCAUCCAUGCUUCACGACAGAGACAGCUGUGGUUCACCUCAGGGACAGCCGCGGUUUACGUCGGUGGUAUCCAUGGUUUACGUCAGGGGCAUCCAUGCUUCACGACAGAGACACCAGCUGUGGUUUACGCCAAGGGCAGGCGGGGUUUAUGUCAGGGACAGCUGUGGUUUCCGUCGGUGGCAUCCGUGGUUUACGGCAGGGGAAGCCGCGGUGUAUGUCAGGGGCAGCUGUGGUUUCCGUCGGUGGCAUCCGUGGUUUACGGCAGGGGAAGCCGCGGUACGCGCCCGUGGCCUGGGGAUGUACCGCAGCGGAGGCGGUGUGAGGGGCUCGGUAGGCUGGGGCCCGGGUGUGUCUGGGGAAGCGGAGCCCUGGGUGGGGGCUUCACUCGAGACGGGAGGGAGGCCAGGCGACUUGUGGCUCCCGGGAAGGCGGCCUGACGUGGGGCCUGGCCUCGCCUGCCCGCCCUGUCCGGCAGCGCCGCGCCCCUCACCGGGGUCCCCCCGUGCCCGCAGUCUCCACGUCCACGUCUGCCCGGGUUUCCCGCUCGUUCUUAGGGUCUUCCGCCUGGCCACAGUCAGUUCUGGGGGUCGUCUGAAGGGGAACGUACGUUCCAUUAUCUGCGGUACCGGCUGUGUGGGUCACGCGUGUUCUCCCCAAAAAGAAAAGUGGGGCGUGCAGAGACAGGUAUCCGCCGCGCGGCAGUGCGCAGUGCAGUCCUGUCCUGGACAUCGCGCUGUGCUGUGGGCGUGCGCAGUUAUUUUGUGCGUUAUCUGA